Molecule: transfer RNA, 515 nt
Filed under: uncultured Prochlorococcus sp.
Lineage: Bacteria; Bacillati; Cyanobacteriota; Cyanophyceae; Synechococcales; Prochlorococcaceae
Description: partial 16S-23S ribosomal RNA intergenic spacer
Rfam family: tRNA (bases 124-196)
Source: RNAcentral
CAGGGAGACAACAAAAUGUUUAAUAUUAUUUUGUCACCUUAGGUCGAUCGGUAUCUCACAUUCUUAAUUUAUUGAGGAUUUCAAGUCCUAAGUUUUUUCUAGGUCACACCCAUUACUUUUCCUGGGCCAUUAGCUCAGGUGGUUAGAGCGCACCCCUGAUAAGGGUGAGGUCCCUGGUUCAAGUCCAGGAUGCCCAUAUCUCUAUGUUGGGGGAUAGCUCAUGGUAGAGCGCCUGCUUUGCAAGCAGGAUGUCAGCGGUUCGAGUCCGCUUACCUCCACUGAUUACCACCUCUUGCAUAAACUAUGGAAAUGUUUUGAGUUGUGAUCAAAUCCUGAACGAAUCUAGCUUCCUAAUGAAACUAUUAAGAUGCUGGACUCAUUGAAUUAAUUUCAUUGUUUUCAGAGAACCUUGACAACUGCAUAGAUUAUUUUAAAGACAUUAAGCAUCUUAAAUGAUGCAGAUUUAUUAUUUGUGCGAAUGCAUUAAUAACAAUUCUAUUAAGCUGAUGCUUCAA